This 402-nucleotide ribosomal RNA is filed under the name uncultured bacterium. RNAcentral's name for it is "bacterial SSU rRNA". It matches the Rfam family "Bacterial small subunit ribosomal RNA", at positions 355 to 774 of the family's 1533-position model. The record is from RNAcentral.
UGGGGAAUAUUGCACAAUGGGCGAAAGCCUGAUGCAGCAACGCCGCGUGAGUGAUGAAGGCCUUCGGGUUGUAAAGCUCUGUCUUCUGGGACGAUAAUGACGGUACCAGAGAAGGAAGCCACGGCUAACUACGUGCCAGCAGCCGCGGUAAUACGUAGGGGGCAAGCGUUGUCCGGAUUUACUGGGUGUAAAGGGUGCUCAGGCGGAUUUGUAAGUCAGAGGUGAAAUCUUACAGCUUAACUGUGAAACUGCCUUUGAUACUGCAAGCCUAGAGUAUGGAAGAGAGUGAUGGAAUAUCUGGUGUAGCAGUGAAAUGCGUAGAUAUCAGAUAGAACACCAAUGGCGAAGGCAGUCACUUGGUCCAUUACUGACGCUAAAGCACGAAAGCGUGGGUAGCAAACA